CCAUAGGAAGAUUUUUUGCCAAGAACCCAUGGUAAAAUUCUCUACGCAUAUGGGUAAUAUUUUCCAGACGGAUACCAUAGUCACUGAGACUUUUACUCUCACGUGCAUAAGUAUUUAAUGUAUUUGUCAUCGGUAGCCGUCUGUCUUGCUCAAAUCAUUUACCACAGUAUGGGGCCUAUAGAAUAACACCCAGGUGCCUCCUAUUGAAUGCAAUUACCUGUGUAUACAAGAACAUUGGACCCUGAGCUUUGUGCUCAAGACAUAAAGCUCAUAUUCCUAUGGCUAGACAGUCCAAGCCGAGCCUAGACAGUGCUGUACCAUCACGGACCUUGGCCUGGAGGUGUGACUGCAGAAGAGCAUUCACUGAAAAAAUCUGCAAGGAUCCUAGACGUGACUCUGAAAUGC
Gallus gallus (chicken) is the source of this 405-nucleotide long non-coding RNA. The record is from Ensembl. Lineage: Eukaryota; Metazoa; Chordata; Aves; Galliformes; Phasianidae.